GCUCUCUCUAUCUCUUUCGCUCGUUCUCCUCUUUCUUCAACCCGCAAGCUGCUUUUGGUUUUCUCUAAUUAUGUGAAAAUCUGAGAGAAUUCUGCUUCUUAUCCUUUUUCUUUUCCUUUUCUGUUUUCAAUUUGUUGACGAUGGUCAACCUGAAAAGGUAGUGAACUGGAAUCAAGAACAAGAUCAAGCUGAGGAACCCUAGAUUUCUGAUUCGAGCUCGAAAGAGGAACCCUACUUGCAGAGUGAUUAUGUUAAGAUGCCGGUUCGAUCUAUUGGUGCUGUAAGGAUAUUGAUGAAAUAUUAGACUUCAUGGCCAAAGACAUACAUCUUCUUCAUCUGCAAAUGGUUUAUGGAUGGCCCAAGAUCAACAUAGAAAAUACUCAAAUCCAAACAUCUCUCGGUCUGGUUCUACAAAGGGUACCCUUCUUGCUGGUGGGUCUGCUAAAGGUUUAUUUAGUAUUGAAGAAGACAACAAGGAAGCAGAAGCAGAUGAGGAAUCAGAUGCUGCACGUUUUGUGCAUCAUUAGCAUUGAAUUUGUCUUCUAGCUUCUGAAAGCAACAUGUGACAAAUGGCAAAGAUAUACAAAUCUCUCUUUCCUCUGUCCUGAAGCUGAAAGGGGUGGAUAAAAUUGGGGACUACAUUUUGUUUCUGCAUGCACUCAAAUAUUUGGAACAACUGGCAUUAAAAUAAAAAUAA
Molecule: long non-coding RNA, 697 nt
Organism: Carya illinoinensis
Lineage: Eukaryota; Viridiplantae; Streptophyta; Magnoliopsida; Fagales; Juglandaceae
Exons: 5
Source: RefSeq, a predicted model, not a curated record